This 1988-nucleotide long non-coding RNA is filed under the name Equus caballus (horse). Its description in RNAcentral is "lncRNA (ENSECAG00000032420.3)". Lineage: Eukaryota; Metazoa; Chordata; Mammalia; Perissodactyla; Equidae. The record is from RNAcentral.
AAAAAUUAUUAAAAAUUUUUUCGAAGGGCCCUAUGUCUCAACUUUUAGUUCAUACAAUAUGAUAUUUUUAAUUCAGGCCAUUCACAAGUAUUGUUAUUAUUUUAUUUGCUGUAUGCUUAUUUAUUUCUGUGCCCACCCUCAAUCAAAUGUGAACUUCAUGAGGCCAGAGACCUAUCAGAGACCUCCUGACCUACGCAGUAGACCCGUCCUCUAUUGUAUACUCAAGCCUAGCACAGUGCCAGACACCUAAAAUGUGCUCAACAUCUGUCAAGUGUACAGAAUUACCUCCAGUCUUUAUAACAAUCUUAAAAGUUGGGUAGUAUUAUCUUUUGUUUUCAGAGGGGACAAUCGAGCUUCAGAGAAAGGACAUCUCUAAGGUAGUGAAACUGAGAUAUUAUUUUAAAUCUUGCAUUGUUUUCUUAUCCUGGUGUACAUGGUUAAUAAUGUUGCAUCACUCUCACCAUCAAAGCUUGGUGAAUAAUCAGUGAUUGCAAUUUUCUCUAUCUCUGGUUGGUUUUUCCACAGUGAUUAGCCAUACAACCUUUUAGGAAAAAAAGCAUGCUUACUUCUCUAGGGUGCAAGUCUUCAGGGAUCAGAGAGGAAAUCUCAAGCAACAGGUAGAUGGUGGAAGAUAUGAACAAGAAAAAUUAAAAUAAGAAAUAUUGGAAGAAAAAAUAGGACACCAUCAGAAUAUGUAGGAUAAAUGACUAUGGAUACCUCACUAGCAGAAAGAUAUGCAAUUCCCUGACAUUUAUAGCUAAUUUCCCUUGAUUUUUAGGAGAGUCUCUAGAAAGAGAUUCUGGGUAUACAUUCUCAUAGUGUUUUAGUCACAGACAAGAACGAUCUUUAAGAAGAGGAUGUUAUGUAUUAGACCACAUUCCAAAUGGAGGUCUGUUAGGAAAACAAAAUUAGGAGACACGUCUUCCAUUCAAAUUUAUCAAGACUAUUGGUACAGCUCUGCCUUGAUCACUGGAACUCUACACUGAAAGCAGGAGCUUUUUCCAGUGUGCCCUCUGGAAUAUAUACUGUUUGUUAUAUGAUUUUAGAGGCACCCUUUUUGAUGCUUCAAUUUUUACAGCAGCAAAAGCAAGCCUAGAUAUAAAGAAAUCUGCUGAAUAUGAAUAAACCUUGCUAUAGACAUUAGGUCUAUGCCUAUUAAGAUCCUAAAACUUCAACAAAUUGAAAGCAGAUUGUCUAUGAACCAAGUAAUAUGAUGAUGCCAAAGUGUGGAAUUUUCUGAAAAAAAAAAAAUAGACCAGCUUUUUCUUGUAACUGCUUAAUUUCAAGCCAAAAUGCAGAUGAUAUAGAUAGGUUGGCACAUUUGCUCAAAAUGUUAAAGAAAUUUUGGUAUGUCUGGCUGAAAGCUGACUACAUCACCAUUCAGCCGUUCUCCUGAAAGACACUUAGGUUUUAUGGUCUUUUGGGUCUAAAAUUAUUUGAUCUUGUGAUUUGGGUUCAUAUACUUAGUGGAAAAGCUUUCACUGAGUUCAAAAAGGAAAUCAAAUCUGGUCGAUGCCAAAAGAAAAUGCAAGGUGAUGACUAAUGACACUUCCAUUCUCCUUUUCUCUGCUCUGGCCAAGAACAUCAACUCCUGAUUUCAUCAUGGAUGGUGUAGCCAGGAAGGUUGGAUUUGAAUGCUUGUCCUCAUGGAAGUGAGAUAAAAAAAAUAUGGAUAUCCUUGACUACAUGGACGACUUAAACACACGAUGGGAAUACAUUCAUACCCACCCAUCAUCUCCCUGGCAAGAUGAGUUCUCCAGAGUUGCGUUGGAUCGGAAGGCAACUUAGACAUAAACAGUGAAAGGAGUAAUUCCAAGGGCCUGCACACUUAAAAUAAAAUUCAUCUUUGUGGAUGUGAAUGUUUAGCUGUGUUUCCAUGAAUCCAAGUUUGAAUAGGUCCUUGGCUAGCAUUCGCCACCAGGGCUGCAAGUGAGGAGAAUUGUCCCUGAGCUGAGAUCUGUGCCAAUCUUCCUCUAUUUUGUAUGUGG